RNAcentral lists this unclassified non-coding RNA (21 nucleotides) under Mus musculus (house mouse). Its description in RNAcentral is "oocyte_clustered_small_RNA13538". The record is from RNAcentral. Lineage: Eukaryota; Metazoa; Chordata; Mammalia; Rodentia; Muridae.
ACAGAGACACAUGCGCACUGG